This 397-nucleotide ribosomal RNA is filed under the name uncultured bacterium. RNAcentral's name for it is "bacterial SSU rRNA". It matches the Rfam family "Bacterial small subunit ribosomal RNA", at positions 358 to 772 of the family's 1533-position model. The record is from RNAcentral.
GGAAUAUUGGACAAUGGGGGCAACCCUGAUCCAGCCAUGCCGCGUGGGUGAUGAAGGCCUUAGGGUUGUAAAGCCCUUUCGCGCGCGACGAUGCUGCCGGUCGCGCGAGAAGGAGCCUCGGCUAACUACGUGCCAGCAGCCGCGGUAAGACGGAGGAGGCAAGCGUUGUUCGGAAUUACUGGGCGUAAAGCGUGCGUAGGCGGCUUGGUUAGUCGGAGGUGAAAUCCCGGGGCUCAACUCCGGAACUGCCUCCGAGACGGCCAGGCUUGAGUGAAGGAGAGGAGAGCGGAAUUCCCAGUGUAGAGGUGAAAUUCGUAGAUAUUGGGAAGAACACCGGUGGCGAAGGCGGCUCUCUGGCCUUUUUCUGACGCUGAGGCACGAAAGCGUGGGGAGCAAA